CUAGGAUUGAAGACAGAAGAACCAAAGAAGAGGACAGACGAAGCGCCGGAGCCAGAGACGAGAGAUAAGCCAGGGACGAAGACGGACGAGACGCCGGCACCAGAAAUGCAUCCACAUGUGGAGUCAGAGCAGACAUGGAUGUCGCUGGGUUAUCCGGAGUCGGGACGGAUGUGGUCGGUGCCAGACCACCAGGAAAUGAAGCAGACGUGGUUGGUGCCAGACCACCAGUAACCGAGGCAAUUGUGGUCGGAGCCGGACCACCAGGCACCGAGACAGACAGGACUGAGGCAGGCGGUGUCCGCUCGAGUCUGAGACAGGCGGCGUCCGCUCGGGUCCGUGUGGUGGAAAUUUUGCAAUAAAGGCAGAUGAGAGAGAGUUGUCCUUUUGUGCGAUUUAUUGAAAUAAUAAAGAAAAUAACAAGUAAUGAGGAAAGCAAAUAAAAAGCCAGCUGGGGAGAUCAGAACAUACACCAUGGAGGUAUAAUGCAAAGAUCACCCCGUUCUGAGGUUGUCUCUGCCUUUUAACCUCUCUCCCGGGACCUGGUGGAAUCUUCCUAUCACACUGUGGGUUAAGAUGUUUACAUUACACAGAGAAUACACAAGGUCUACAGCCUUGGGUCUGGUGGGGCAUCAGAUAGAAAGGAGCCAGAGACCAGGGGUAAAAGGCAGACACAAGCCAUAAACAAUCGGUCAGUCAAACACAACAUUAGAUGUCAGCACUUAAUGUGCGACAGAACCUUGAGAGGAAGAUAGAUUGUUUGUCGAAUAAUGUUCAGUUCUGGGUCUAAUCAACAAGUACAGAAUGCAUGGUUAUUAUACAGAGUCAGAAAUGAACACAAGAGCAUUAAAGUACAAUUUUUCCAUUACAGUCCGCCACAGGGAACAGGGCUAUGAACGGCCUCCUCUUUGGAGCCCAAGAACACAGAAUGGAGACAGAAUGGAGACCUGGCUUGGCAGAACGGGUGAUGUGAGGAGCUCGGCCACUACGCCCAUCCAACAAGCAGAGGAAAGAAUCCUAGCAGCCAGGGAGCCCACACACCUUCAGUUCCAGGAGGGCAGGUGUUGCGACCCAAGCCGCCCACACAGAACCCCCCAGGCAGAGCUGCAACAGCCACAGAGACAGCACCCAAGGUCAGAUUGGGCCACCGUGGGUCAGCGCUGUCCGCCCCAUGAGAACAAGGGGCAAACACUCCCCCCAGUCGGAGGGCCAGCCUGAGAGAAUGGAGCCCGAGGACCCAUGGUCCGCAGGGAGCCCGUUAGGAGAUGCCCCCACGCCCAAAGUGGGGCCCAACCCCAGUCCAUCACCCCUACUUGAGCGGAGCGGGGCCGACCCCAUCGGCCUGACCAUAUCCCCUGGCACCAUACCGGCCUGCAGCACAAGGCCAGCAAUUGGUGGAGGUCAGCAGAAAAAAGACCACGCAGGCAAAGAAGAAGCAGAGGGCAGCGGAAAAGGCACCCUAGAACCCUGCAACCCAGCUUGGAUGUUUUUGUGGAACUAAAGUGCACUGAAAGUGAGGGACACCUCCAGGACCUCGACCGCUGGCUGACGGUGUGAUACCCCGGACAGUGUCCCCCCCACCCUAAAUUUCUUUUUUGCAUUUAUGGUGCAGUGGUGGUGAUCUCUCCCCCAGGGCCAGUGGGCGAGGCCACAACAGCCCCAGGCCCCAGUGAAAGAGCCCAACCCCGGCCAAAAAUGUAUGUGUAUGUGGCUAAGUAUGAGGAACUUUGGGAGAUCGCCAGUUUCCCGAGGGGUCCAGCAGACAGAGCCAUCAAUGUGAAGGCUCCGUCCACUGGCCGCCCCGGAGGGAGCCCCCAAAUUCCUGGACGAGUGUGUAUG
Long non-coding RNA from Betta splendens (Siamese fighting fish), 1836 nucleotides. Lineage: Eukaryota; Metazoa; Chordata; Actinopteri; Anabantiformes; Osphronemidae. The record is from Ensembl.